Dioscorea cayenensis subsp. rotundata (Guinea yam) is the source of this 107-nucleotide small nucleolar RNA. NCBI's taxonomy places the organism in Eukaryota, Viridiplantae, Streptophyta, Magnoliopsida, Dioscoreales, Dioscoreaceae. The record is from RefSeq and is a predicted model, not a curated record.
AACCCAUGCUGAGGACAUUUCCGUAGGAGAUCCUUGAACCUGUCCUAUGUCUCAAAAAGAGACUCUAAUUCUAUUUGCAUAAUAGAGGAUAUUUCAUUCCUAUGAUU